This 356-nucleotide ribosomal RNA is filed under the name uncultured bacterium. RNAcentral describes it as "bacterial SSU rRNA". It matches the Rfam family "Bacterial small subunit ribosomal RNA", at positions 148 to 520 of the family's 1533-position model. The record is from RNAcentral.
AGUUGGAAACGACUGCUAAUACCGCAUAAGCCCACGGCUCGGCAUCGAGCAGAGGGAAAAGGAGCAAUCCGCUUUGAGAUGGCCUCGCGUCCGAUUAGCUAGUUGGUGAGGUAAUGGCCCACCAAGGCGACGAUCGGUAGCCGGACUGAGAGGUUGAACGGCCACAUUGGGACUGAGACACGGCCCAGACUCCUACGGGAGGCAGCAGUGGGGAAUAUUGCACAAUGGGGGAAACCCUGAUGCAGCGACGCCGCGUGGAGGAAGAAGGUCUUCGGAUUGUAAACUCCUGUUGUUGAGGAAGAUAAUGACGGUACUCCACAAGGAAGUGACGGCUAACUACGUGCCAGCAGCCGCGG